This 414-nucleotide ribosomal RNA is filed under the name Triticum aestivum (bread wheat). RNAcentral describes it as "partial small subunit ribosomal RNA". The record is from RNAcentral. Lineage: Eukaryota; Viridiplantae; Streptophyta; Magnoliopsida; Poales; Poaceae.
AAGAGCAGCCGUUUGAUCUUGGUGCAGUCUGUGUUGUGUGCAAUACUGAUUCAUGCGAUGAUAGCUCUUGAGCUGCCGCAGAAGACGAUUACGGCGAGGAACAAAAUUCGUCGAGGGUUCCUUUGGUGCGCCACAGCGCAGGACAAUGGCAGGCAAUGUGCGGUGGCAUGGGAGCAUGUGUGCUCACCCAAGUGGGCAGGUGGACUCGGCAACCCAAACCUAAGACGGCUUAAUAUUGUGAUGCAAUCUCGAUGGCCGUGGUUGCUGUUAGAGUUGUGUCGAAUAUUAUUAUACAAGAUAGGUUAUAGUUGGGUUUGGUUUUGGAUUGUGAGUAGACAGGGUAGGAGUUGUGACCUAAUAGGACACUUGUAUCCUAGGCCUCUCAUAUAUAUCGGGGGUAGACACACGAUAUAA